UACAGAGGGUGCGAGCGUUAAUCGGAAUUACUGGGCGUAAAGCGUGCGUAGACGGCUAUCUAAGUCGGGUGUGAAAGCCCCCGGCUCAACCGGGGAACGGCGCGGGAAACUAGCAGGCUUGAGUUCGGGAGAGGGAAGCGGAAUUCCGGGUGUAGCGGUGAAAUGCGCAGAUAUCCGGAGGAACACCGGUGGCGAAGGCGGCUUCCUGGACCGACACUGACGCUGAGGCGCGAAAGCUAGGGGAGCAAACGGG
Molecule: ribosomal RNA, 253 nt
Filed under: uncultured bacterium
Lineage: Bacteria
Description: partial 16S ribosomal RNA
Rfam family: Bacterial small subunit ribosomal RNA
Source: RNAcentral